CUAGCCGUAAACGAUGGACACUAGGUGUUGGUGGUAUCAACCCCGCCAGUGCCGAAGCUAACGCAUUAAGUGUCCCGCCUGGGGAGUACGGCCGCAAGGCUAAAACUCAAAGGAAUUGACGGGGGCCCGCACAAGCAGCGGAGCGUGGGGUUUAAUUCGACGCAACGCGAAGAACCUUACCAGGGCUUGACAUGACCAGGAUCCCGGCGGAAACGUCGGUUCCCCGCAAGGGGCCUGGCCACAGGUGU
Molecule: ribosomal RNA, 248 nt
Filed under: uncultured bacterium
Lineage: Bacteria
Description: partial 16S ribosomal RNA
Rfam family: Bacterial small subunit ribosomal RNA
Source: RNAcentral